GACCUCAAAUCAGGUAGGACUACCCGCUGAACUUAAGCAUAUCAAUAAGCGGAGGAAAAGAAACUAACAAGGAUUCCCCUAGUAACUGCGAGUGAAGCGGGAAAAGCUCAAAUUUAAAAUCUGGCGGUCUUUUGGCUGUCCGAGUUGUAAUCUAGAGAAGUGUUAUCCGCGCUGGACCGUGUACAAGUCUCCUGGAAUGGAGCAUCAUAGAGGGUGAGAAUCCCGUCUUUGACAUGGACUACCAGGGCUUUGUGAUGCGCUCUCAAAGAGUCGAGUUGUUUGGGAAUGCAGCUCAAAAUGGGUGGUAAAUUCCAUCUAAAGCUAAAUAUUGGCGAGAGACCGAUAGCGAACAAGUACCGUGAGGGAAAGAUGAAAAGAACUUUGGAAAGAGAGUUAAACAGUACGUGAAAUUGCUGAAAGGGAAACGCUUGAAGUCAGUCGCGUCGUCCAGGGAUCAACCUUGCUUUUGCUUGGUGCACUUUCUGGUUCGAUGGGUCAGCAUCAAUUUUGACUGUUGGAAAAAGGUUGAGGGAAUGUGGCAUCUUUGGAUGUGUUUAUAGCCCUUGGUCACAUACAAUGGUUGGGAUUGAGGAACUCAGCACGCCGCAAGGCCGGGUUUAAACCACGUACGUGCUAGA
This 638-nucleotide ribosomal RNA is filed under the name Cortinarius alboviolaceus. RNAcentral describes it as "eukaryotic LSU rRNA". It matches the Rfam family "Eukaryotic large subunit ribosomal RNA", at positions 1 to 620 of the family's 3401-position model. Lineage: Eukaryota; Fungi; Basidiomycota; Agaricomycetes; Agaricales; Cortinariaceae. The record is from RNAcentral.